AACGAACGCUGGCGGCAUGCCUAACACAUGCAAGUCGAACGAGAUCUUCGGGUCUAGUGGCGCACGGGUGCGUAACGCGUGGGAAUCUGCCCUUUGGUUCGGAAUAACAGUUGGAAACGACUGCUAAUACCGGAUGAUGACGAAAGUCCAAAGAUUUAUCGCCAGAGGAUGAGCCCGCGUAGGAUUAGCUAGUUGGUGUGGUAAAGGCGCACCAAGGCGACGAUCCUUAGCUGGUCUGAGAGGAUGAUCAGCCACACUGGGACUGAGACACGGCCCAGACUCCUACGGGAGGCAGCAGUGGGGAAUAUUGGACAAUGGGCGAAAGCCUGAUCCAGCAAUGCCGCGUGAGUGAUGAAGGCCCUAGGGUUGUAAAGCUCUUUUACCCGGGAUGAUAAUGACAGUACCGGGAGAAUAAGCCCCGGCUAACUCCGUGCCAGCCGCCGCAGUAA
RNAcentral lists this ribosomal RNA (449 nucleotides) under uncultured bacterium. RNAcentral's name for it is "partial 16S ribosomal RNA". It matches the Rfam family "Bacterial small subunit ribosomal RNA", at positions 29 to 523 of the family's 1533-position model. The record is from RNAcentral.